AUACUAGCUAUGGCGGUACAUAUUCAAAAAUUGGAAUGAUACAGAGAAGAUUAGCAAGACCCCUGCACAAGCAUGACACACAAAUACGUGAAGCAUUCCAUAUUUUU
Molecule: small nuclear RNA, 107 nt
Organism: Octopus sinensis (East Asian common octopus)
Lineage: Eukaryota; Metazoa; Mollusca; Cephalopoda; Octopoda; Octopodidae
Source: RefSeq, a predicted model, not a curated record